UACUAGAGUAGCACUCGCAUAUCAAUAAGCGGAGGAAAAGAAACUAACAAGGAUUCCCCUAGUAACGGCGAGUGAAGCGGGAAGAGCUCAAAUUUGAAAUCUUAAAGGGUUUCCCUUUACGAAUUGUAGUUUAAAGAAGUGUUUUCUGUUGAGGUUUUGGUAAAAGUUCUUUGGAAUAGGACAUCAUAGAGGGUGAGAAUCCCGUAUUUGACCUUUACUUUCAACUUUGUGAUACACUUUCAAAGAGUCGGAUUGUUUGGGAAUGCAGUCCAAAAUGGGUGGUAAAUUUCAUCUAAAGCUAAAUAUUGGCGAGAGACCGAUAGCGAACAAGUACCGUGAGGGAAAGAUGAAAAGAACUUUGAAAAGAGAGUUAAACAGUACGUGAAAUUGUCAAAAGGGAAGCGUUUGACACCAGUGUUGUUUUUCUGAAAAUCAAUUAAAGAACUGUUUAUGCUAAGUUGUUAGACUUUAUCAGCUAACUGUUUAGUUUUGAGCUUUUCUUUAAUGCACUUUUCAGUUAACAAGUCAACAUCAAUUUCUUUUGCUGUAAAAAAGCUUGAGGAAGGUGGCUUGAGAUUCGUCUUAAGUGUUUAUAGCCUCUUGCCUAUGCAGUCGGAGAGAUUGAGGUCUGCAGCGUAGAUCCUUCGGGGCUAAAUGCAUUUGUGCUAAGUUAUAGCAUUUUAUAGACAACUUGUUGACUAUGAUUUGUCUUGUAGCUUACUCGCUUAUGUUAUUUUACCUACGCUUAGGAUGUUGAUCUCUCACAGUCGAGC
Molecule: ribosomal RNA, 773 nt
Filed under: uncultured Neocallimastigales
Lineage: Eukaryota; Fungi; Neocallimastigomycota; Neocallimastigomycetes; Neocallimastigales
Description: partial large subunit ribosomal RNA
Rfam family: Eukaryotic large subunit ribosomal RNA
Source: RNAcentral